GACGAACGCUGGCGGCGUGCUUAACACAUGCAAGUCGAACGGAAAGGCCCUGCUUUUGUGGGGUGCUCGAGUGGCGAACGGGUGAGUAACACGUGAGUAACCUGCCCUUGACUUUGGGAUAACUUCAGGAAACUGGGGCUAAUACCGGAUAGGAGCUCCUGCUGCAUGGUGGGGGUUGGAAAGUUUCGGCUGUUGGGGAUGGACUGGCGGCUUAUCAGCUUGUUGGUGGGGUAGUUGCUUACCAAGGCUUUGACGGGUAGCCGGCCUGAGAGGGUGAACGGCGACAAUGGGACUGAGAUACGGCGCAGACGCCUACGGGAGGCAGCAGUGGGGAAUCUGGCACAAUGGGCGGAAGCGUGAUGCAGCAACGCCGGGUGCGGGAUGACGGCCUUCGGGUUGUAAACCGCUUUCGCCUGUGACGAAGCGUGAGUGACGGUAAUGGGUAAAGAAGCACCGGCUAACUACGUG
Molecule: ribosomal RNA, 468 nt
Filed under: uncultured bacterium
Lineage: Bacteria
Description: partial 16S ribosomal RNA
Rfam family: Bacterial small subunit ribosomal RNA
Source: RNAcentral